This 73-nucleotide transfer RNA is filed under the name Candidatus Acetothermia bacterium. RNAcentral describes it as "tRNA-Lys". It matches the Rfam family "tRNA". From Rfam's summary of the family: Transfer RNA (tRNA) molecules are approximately 80 nucleotides in length. The record is from RNAcentral. Lineage: Bacteria; Candidatus Bipolaricaulota.
GGGUCGUUAGCUCAGUCGGUAGAGCACCGGCCUUUUAAGCCGGGAGUCGCGGGUUCGAUUCCUGCACGACCCA